CCGCUCAGAGGUAAACGGGUGGAGUUGAACUGCGAACCCUGAGAAUUCAACUGGUGAGUGUGGUAUGAGCUUGGCAUGAAGGUUGGCUCUGCGGGUCUGCUUAGCUGCAGGUCUUCGCCUUUUGGUGGAGAUGCGCGAUACACUUGUCAAGUGGUGCGCGCUCGUUGAGUUUCUCGGACAUACUUGCCAGUGCACUUUCUCGGGGUGUUCACCACGACCGGCGCCGCUACUUGUCCAAUAUGGUUAAACCGGUCUUGCUUGGUCCCUGUGGCUUUGCUUGAUCGGGAUGGCAGGUAACUCGUUGACUUGUGUGUUGACCUCGGUUGGCAUGCGCUUGGUUUUCGAGUGUAAUCAGCUGACUGUAUUGGUGCUAUGUGGUGCGUCGGAGACGGCGGCUUGUGGUGUGUGCCUGCGUGCCUAUUUGCUGACGGAACCGGGUUUGGUUAUUAUGUUGCCUGUUUUGCAGGCCUGGUGAUGGCUCGGUUUCGCUUGGUGGAUGGGAGCGUGGGUGACACUUAUCAGGGCCUAUAGUCUGUGGUGUUGUGGUAGACUAUCCACCUGACCCGUCUUGAAACACGGACCAAGGAGAGUAACAUGUGCGCGAGUCAUGGGGUGUUACGAAACCCAAAGGCGAAGUGAAAGUAAAGACUUGACUUGUUCGAGUUGAGGUGAGAUCCUGUCGUUUCUCAUGCGCGGUACUUCCAAGCAUUCGAGCGAUGGGCGCAUCACCGGCCCGUCCCAUGGUGUGGUCACUGUCUUCGGAUUGGUGCGUCACCGGGGCGGAGCAUGAGCGCACAUGUUGAGACCCGAAAGAUGGUGAACUAUGCUUGCGCAGGUUGAAGCCAGAGGAAACUCUGGUGGAGGACCGUAGCGAUUCUGACGUGCAAAUCGAUCGUCAAACGUGAGUAUAGGGGCGAAAGACUA
Molecule: ribosomal RNA, 924 nt
Filed under: Quinqueserialis quinqueserialis
Lineage: Eukaryota; Metazoa; Platyhelminthes; Trematoda; Plagiorchiida; Notocotylidae
Description: partial large subunit ribosomal RNA
Rfam family: Eukaryotic large subunit ribosomal RNA
Source: RNAcentral